Molecule: ribosomal RNA, 735 nt
Filed under: Triticum aestivum (bread wheat)
Lineage: Eukaryota; Viridiplantae; Streptophyta; Magnoliopsida; Poales; Poaceae
Description: partial small subunit ribosomal RNA
Source: RNAcentral
AUGGCGCCAUCGUUCGUGUGGUCGAGGCGCGCGCUGGUCGUGAUGGUGGUGGUGGCGGCGCAGUCGUCGGAGGCGGCGGCGAGGAGCGGCGGGGCCGACGAAGACGAGCUUCGGUUCCCGGGGUUCCCGGGCGGCAGGCCGCGCAACCCUGGCUUCCCGGGGGUGCCCGGGGGCAGGGUAGCGUCUCCCCCAGCGUCUCGCUUCAAGCCGUCCUCGCCGCCGCCGUCGCCGCCGCCGCCGCAGCCGUCACCCGCUGCUAGUGCUAGUCCAGCGUGCAGCAGCGGGGCGCCUUCGCAGCCGGCGCUGCAGCCGCUGCCCGGGUUCCCGGGCCUGCAGCAGCCGGGCAACGGCGGCGGGUCGCCGUCGUCGCCGGCGGACUGCGUGACGCCGCUGGCGGGGCUGAUGACGUGCGCGUCGUUCCUGACGGGGAGCGAGCCGGACACCCCGACGCCGCAGAGCGAGUGCUGCAGCGGGCUGGGCAUGUUCCUCAACAGCACGGCGGCGGUGGACGACCGCUCGCUGCGGUGCCUGUGCCCGGUCAUCCUCGGCGACGUCAACCGCAUGCUGCCCAAGCCCAUCGACCCCGUCCGCAUGAUGUACCUCCCCAUCUCCUGCGGCGUCGUCCUCCCGCCUCAAGUCCUCUUCAUCUGCUUCACUGGACAGCCAACGCCACCCGUGGUCUCGCGCAUCCCCGACUCCUGGAUGACGCCAGCUUCAUCAGCAUUGACACCUUGA